Molecule: ribosomal RNA, 386 nt
Filed under: uncultured Methanomicrobiales archaeon
Lineage: Archaea; Methanobacteriati; Methanobacteriota; Methanomicrobia; Methanomicrobiales
Description: bacterial SSU rRNA
Rfam family: Archaeal small subunit ribosomal RNA
Source: RNAcentral
UCGGGCUGAAGACUCUACUUGACUAGCUGAGAGGAGGUGCAUGGCCGUCGUCAGUUCGUACUGUGAAGCAUCCUGUUAAGUCAGGCAACGAGCGAGACCCACGCCAACAGUUGCCAGCUCGUCCUCCGGGGAUGGUGGGGACACUGUUGGGACCGCCUCUGCUAAAGAGGAGGAAGGAAUGGGCAACGGUAGGUCAGCAUGCCCCGAAUUAUCUGGGCUACACGCGGGCUACAAUGGGUGGGACAAUGGGUAUCGACACCGAAAGGUGAAGGCAAUCUCCUAAACCCAUCCGUAGUUCGGAUUGUGGGCUGCAACUCGCCCACAUGAAGCUGGAAUCUGUAGUAAUCGUGUCUCAAAAUGGCACGGUGAAUAUGUCCCUGCUCCUU